This 254-nucleotide ribosomal RNA is filed under the name uncultured bacterium. RNAcentral's name for it is "partial 16S ribosomal RNA". It matches the Rfam family "Bacterial small subunit ribosomal RNA", at positions 524 to 776 of the family's 1533-position model. The record is from RNAcentral.
UACAGGGGGGGCAAGCGUUGUUCGGAAUUACUGGGCGUAAAGGGCUCGUAGGCGGCCAACUAAGUCAGACGUGAAAUCCCUCGGCUUAACCGGGGAACUGCGUCUGAUACUGGAUGGCUUGAGUUUGGGAGAGGGAUGCGGAAUUCCAGGUGUAGCGGUGAAAUGCGUAGAUAUCUGGAGGAACACCGGUGGCGAAGGCGGCAUCCUGGGCCAACACUGACGCUGAGUGAGCGAAAGCCAGGGGAGCAAACGGG